Unclassified non-coding RNA from Macaca fascicularis (crab-eating macaque), 117 nucleotides. It matches the Rfam family "Metazoan signal recognition particle RNA". Rfam says of the family: The signal recognition particle (SRP) is a universally conserved ribonucleoprotein. The record is from Ensembl. Lineage: Eukaryota; Metazoa; Chordata; Mammalia; Primates; Cercopithecidae.
GCUGGGCGUGGUGGCUCACGCCUGUAAUCCUAGCACCUUGGGAGGCUGAGGCGGGUGGAUCAUCUGAGGUCAGGAGUUUGAGACCAGCCUGGCCAACAUGGUGAAACCCCGUCUCCA